This 106-nucleotide transfer RNA is filed under the name Candidatus Woesearchaeota archaeon. Its description in RNAcentral is "tRNA-Ala". The record is from RNAcentral. Lineage: Archaea; Nanobdellati; Candidatus Woesearchaeota.
GGGCUGGUGGUGAAAUCCGGUAUCAUGCGCCCUUGGCUUGGGUGAGGCUGCGGGUUCAAAUUAAGAUGCAGCAAUUGUUGUGUCUAUGAAUUUCCCGCCCAGUCCA